UGGGGAAUAUUGCACAAUGGGCGCAAGCCUGAUGCAGCCAUGCCGCGUGUAUGAAGAAGGCCUUCGGGUUGUAAAGUACUUUCAGCGGGGAGGAAGGGAGUAAAGUUAAUACCUUUGCUCAUUGACGUUACCCGCAGAAGAAGCACCGGCUAACUCCGUGCCAGCAGCCGCGGUAAUACGGAGGGUGCAAGCGUUAAUCGGAAUGACUGGGCGUAAAGCGCACGCAGGCGGUUUGUUAAGUCAGAUGUGAAAUCCCCGGGCUCAACCUGGGAACUGCAUCUGAUACUGGCAAGCUUCAGUCUCGUAGAGGGGGGUAGAAUUCCAGGUGUAGCGGUGAAAUGCGUAGAGAUCUGGAGGAAUACCGGUGGCGAAGGCGGCCCCCUGGACGAAGACUGACGCUCAGGUGCGAAAGCGUGGGGAGCAAACAGG
This 429-nucleotide ribosomal RNA is filed under the name Chloroflexota bacterium. RNAcentral describes it as "Chloroflexi bacterium partial 16S ribosomal RNA". It matches the Rfam family "Bacterial small subunit ribosomal RNA", at positions 355 to 776 of the family's 1533-position model. Lineage: Bacteria; Bacillati; Chloroflexota. The record is from RNAcentral.